AGCGAACGCUGGCGGCAGGCUUAACACAUGCAAGUCGAACGGUCCUUCGGGAUAGUGGCGGACGGGUGAGUAACACGUGGGAACGUACCCUUAGGUUCGGAACAACACAGGGAAACUUGUGCUAAUACCGGAUAAGCCCUUCGGGGGAAAGAUUUAUCGCCUUUGGAGCGGCCCGCGUCUGAUUAGCUUGUUGGUGAGGUAAUGGCUCACCAAGGCUACGAUCAGUAGCUGGUCUGAGAGGAUGGCCAGCCACACUGGGACUGAGACACGGCCCAGACUCCUACGGGAGGCAGCAGUGGGGAAUCUUGCGCAAUGGGCGAAAGCCUGACGCAGCCAUGCCGCGUGGUUGAUGAAGGUCUUAGGAUUGUAAAAUCCUUUCACCGGGGACGAUAAUGACGGUACCCGGAGAAGAAGCCCCGGCUAACUUCGUGCCAGCCGCCGCGGUAA
Molecule: ribosomal RNA, 447 nt
Filed under: uncultured bacterium
Lineage: Bacteria
Description: partial 16S ribosomal RNA
Rfam family: Bacterial small subunit ribosomal RNA
Source: RNAcentral